Molecule: ribosomal RNA, 900 nt
Filed under: uncultured Actinomyces sp.
Lineage: Bacteria; Bacillati; Actinomycetota; Actinomycetes; Actinomycetales; Actinomycetaceae
Description: bacterial SSU rRNA
Rfam family: Bacterial small subunit ribosomal RNA
Source: RNAcentral
CAGACUCCUACGGGAGGCAGCAGUGGGGAAUAUUGCACAAUGGGCGGAAGCCUGAUGCAGCGACGCCGCGUGAGGGAUGACGGCCUUCGGGUUGUAAACCUCUUUCAGUAGGGAAGAAGCGAAAGUGACGGUACCUGCAGAAGAAGCGCCGGCUAACUACGUGCCAGCAGCCGCGGUAAUACGUAGGGCGCAAGCGUUAUCCGGAAUUAUUGGGCGUAAAGAGCUCGUAGGCGGUUUGUCGCGUCUGCCGUGAAAGUCCGGGGCUCAACUCCGGAUCUGCGGUGGGUACGGGCAGACUAGAGUGAUGUAGGGGAGACUGGAACUCCUGGUGUAGCGGUGAAAUGCGCAGAUAUCAGGAGGAACACCGAUGGCGAAGGCAGGUCUCUGGGCAUUAACUGACGCUGAGGAGCGAAAGCAUGGGGAGCGAACAGGAUUAGAUACCCUGGUAGUCCAUGCCGUAAACGUUGGGCACUAGGUGUGGGGGACAUUCCACGUUUUCCGCGCCGUAGCAACGCAUUAAGUGCCCCGCCUGGGGAGUACGGCUGCAAGGCUAAAACUCAAAGGAAUUGACGGGGGCCCGCACAAGCGGCGGAGCAUGCGGAUUAAUUCGAUGCAACGCGAAGAACCUUACCAAGGCUUGACAUGGACCGGACCGCCGCAGAAAUGUGGUUUCCCCUUUGGGGCUGGUUUACAGGUGGUGCAUGGUUGUCGUCAGCUCGUGUCGUGAGAUGUUGGGUUAAGUCCCGCAACGAGCGCAACCCUCGUUCUAUGUUGCCAGCACGUGAUGGUGGGGACUCAUAGGAGACUGCCGGGGUCAACUCGGAGGAAGGUGGGGACGACGUCAAUCAUCAUGCCCCUUUAUGUCUUGGCUUCACGCAUGCAACAAUGGCCCGGUACAAA